UUACACUAAUGGGUAUACAGGUCAUAUGGAAAAUUAAACACCAAAAUCUAAGUUUUCAGGGCAAGAGAAUUUAUGCAUACAAAUCCUAUUACCAGUUAAUGGGAUUUGUGUGGAUCCCCAGUGACCUAUUUAGAAAAUUUACCCCCUGCUGUUCAAGAUGAAUAUAUCAUGUGAACUAAACCUGAAAACAGAGUCCUACUGUUGGCUUCAUCCCCAAUCUGUCAAGCAAGUCCUCUAUGAUUUCCACAGGAUUCUGGCAACAAUUUCAAAAUUCGCCACUGAAACAAAUCAUGCAUAUCCAGGCAUAGAAGAGGGGUGACAACUACAAGAAGAACAAGAAAUAGGGAAGAAGGGCUGACACAAGCUGAGAUGAGGAAAUAUGACCUCCUACACGUGUUUUCCAUGAGGAAUAUGUUUGCUGUGCAGUCACUGAGUUAAAAGCAAGCUUCAUUCCCUUGUGCACCAAGGUAAUUUGGAAAACAAGCCGGAGAAGUCAGGACUGCUAUUUCUCAGUCUGAUUUAACCAUUGACAGGCUAUUUUUACAUCCACUAUGGAGAUGUUCAGGUGAGGUAAACACCCCAGAGAAUACUGAGGAAACACUUACUUUCACAUGAGUAAUACAUUAUGAUAACUCACAUCUUCUAAUAAUAUAAUCUUGUUUUGAAUUCAAACAACUUUCAUACUAUUUGGUGUAGUGCCUGAAUCUAAUACUGUUUCUACCAUCUAGCUUUCUCAUACAGAAUACCUAAUGAAAUUUUCCCUUCACUGUUACUUGAAUUCAAUUAAGGUGAUGCUAUCUCUGUUCUGUGUUCUGAUAAACUCACUGAGGUAUCACUUUCUCUGAUAAAUACCCAGGUAUCUUAAUGAGGUCAAUGUCACUACUUGUUUAAUUAACUUUUAUUUUCUGUAAUUCACAUACUGGUGGUUUCCAUUGGGAUGUCUUAUUAAAAGAAAGUGCUGUUAUUAAAUAUAGAGUAAAAAUCAUUCCUGUAUAACUCCAUAGUUGAGAGUAUUGAAGACCUUAUACAAUUCUUUCAAUGAAAUGUAUUGUGAAAUUAUAAACUAAUGCUCACUAUUUCAAAGAUACUAAGUAAAGUUGUGUCUAUGUUUUGAAAUAGAAAUUAUUUACCAUAUUUUACCUUAACUCUUUGCUAGAAGCUGUCUGAAUAUUCUGAUCAAAAACCUAGGUGGGACGCAAUUUAUUAACCAUAAUAGCUCGUUAAGCCUUGGAUUACUCAAAAUUGUUCAAAAAUUGUUGAGCAGUUUAGUGUAUUGGAAAGAGACCUUUAACUUUAAAAGUGAUACUACUGAAUAUGAAAAUAUAGAAUCUAUUGCUAAUCUAUGAGGAGAGGCAAAUGUCCUCUGGGUGUGUAUGGCAGAUGCUCCUGACAGCAAUAACUUAACCAUACCCUGAGGAUGACCCUACAUUCUAAGGAGAAUGUAUGUUUGGAGUUCCAAGCAAGAAACCUGGGGGUAGCCAACUGGAGAUUCAUUCCUUAUCUAUGAAGGACAUCUGAUCCAUUGGCCUAUCCCUUGGAAUGCAGACCAUACAGGGGAUUGA
Long non-coding RNA from Papio anubis (olive baboon), 1562 nucleotides. Lineage: Eukaryota; Metazoa; Chordata; Mammalia; Primates; Cercopithecidae. The record is from Ensembl.